RNAcentral lists this ribosomal RNA (264 nucleotides) under uncultured archaeon. Its description in RNAcentral is "partial 16S ribosomal RNA". It matches the Rfam family "Archaeal small subunit ribosomal RNA", at positions 717 to 982 of the family's 1478-position model. The record is from RNAcentral.
AGACGUCUACAUUAGAUACCCCGGUAGUCCCAGCCGUAAACUAUGCGCGUUAGGUGUAUCGGUGACCACGAGUUACCGAGGUGCCGAAGGGAAACCGUGAAACGUGCCGCCUGGGAAGUACGGUUGCAAGGCUGAAACUUAAAGGAAUUGGCGGGGAGCACCACAACGGGUGGAGCCUGCGGUUUAAUUGGACUCAACGCCGGGAAGCUCACCGGAUAAGACAGCGGAAUGAUUGCCGGGCUGAAGACUCUGCAUGACUAGCUG